RNAcentral lists this ribosomal RNA (253 nucleotides) under uncultured bacterium. RNAcentral's name for it is "partial 16S ribosomal RNA". It matches the Rfam family "Bacterial small subunit ribosomal RNA", at positions 524 to 776 of the family's 1533-position model. The record is from RNAcentral.
UACGUAGGGUGCGAGCGUUAAUCGGAAUUACUGGGCGUAAAGCGUGCGCAGGCGGUUUUUUAAGCCAGCUGUGAAAGCCCCGGGCUCAACCUGGGAAUGGCAUUUGGGACUGCAAGGCUUGAGUGCGGCAGAGGAGACUGGAAUUCCUGGUGUAGCAGUGAAAUGCGUAGAUAUCAGGAGGAAUACCGAUGGCGAAGGCAGGUCUCUGGGCUGACACUGACGCUCAUGCACGAAAGCGUGGGGAGCAAACAGG